CCUACGGGAGGCAGCAGUGAGGAAUAUUGGUCAAUGGCCGCAAGGCUGAACCAGCCAAGUCGCGUGAGGGAUGACGGUCCUAUGGAUUGUAAACCUCUUUGUCAGGGAGCAAAGGGCGCCACCUGUGGCGCUUUGCGAGUACCUGAAGAAAAAGCGUCGGCUAACUCCGUGCCAGCAGCCGCGGUAAUACGGAGGAUGCGAGCGUUAUCCGGAUUUAUUGGGUUUAAAGGGUGCGCAUGCGGAAUGUCAAGUCAUCGGUAAAAUUUCGGGGCUAAACCCCGUCGUGCAGUUGAAACUGGCGGUCUUGAGUGAGCGAGAAGUAUGCGGAAGUCGUGGUGUAGCGGUGAAAUGCAUAGAUAUCACGCAGAACUCCGAUUGCGAAGGCAGCAUACCGGCGCUCAACUGACGCUGAUGCACGAAAGCGUGGGUAUCGAACAGGAUUAGAUACCCGGGUAGUC
This 458-nucleotide ribosomal RNA is filed under the name uncultured bacterium. Its description in RNAcentral is "partial 16S ribosomal RNA". It matches the Rfam family "Bacterial small subunit ribosomal RNA", at positions 338 to 795 of the family's 1533-position model. The record is from RNAcentral.